This 451-nucleotide ribosomal RNA is filed under the name uncultured bacterium. RNAcentral describes it as "bacterial SSU rRNA". It matches the Rfam family "Bacterial small subunit ribosomal RNA", at positions 29 to 524 of the family's 1533-position model. The record is from RNAcentral.
AACGAACGCUGGCGGCAUGCCUAACACAUGCAAGUCGAACGAGACCUUCGGGUCUAGUGGCGCACGGGUGCGUAACGCGUGGGAACCUGCCUUUAGGUUCGGAAUAACUCAGAGAAAUUUGAGCUAAUACCGGAUAAUGUCUUCGGACCAAAGAUUUAUCGCCUUUAGAUGGGCCCGCGUAAGAUUAGCUAGUUGGUGGGUAAAGGCCUACCAAGGCGACGAUCUUUAGCUGGUCUGAGAGGAUGAUCAGCCACACUGGGACUGAGACACGGCCCAGACUCCUACGGGAGGCAGCAGUGGGGAAUAUUGGACAAUGGGCGAAAGCCUGAUCCAGCAAUGCCGCGUGAGUGAUGAAGGCCUUAGGGUUGUAAAAGCUCUUUUUACCCGAGAUGAUAAUGACAGUAUCGGGAGAAUAAGCUCCGGCUAACUCCGUGCCAGCAGCCGCGGUAAU